This is a long non-coding RNA of Arabidopsis thaliana (thale cress), 343 nucleotides long. RefSeq annotates it as other RNA. NCBI's taxonomy places the organism in Eukaryota, Viridiplantae, Streptophyta, Magnoliopsida, Brassicales, Brassicaceae. The record is from RefSeq. The transcript has a single exon.
UGCCCGAUUUCAAUUUUUUUGUCAAAUAAGUUCCUAUUUUGAUAAUAGCCCCCUUAAAACUUGAUCAUUCAUAUUUUCAAUUUAUAGUUCUUGCCUCUAGUAAGUCAAUACUAAUAAAUUUGAUCAUACAUAUUGUCGAGUUUCUCGUUUGUCUAUGUAUGAACUUCAGAGAAAUAUGUUAUUGGUUGGAGUCUUGUAGAAUGAUCUUUGACUAAUUUUACAGCAUUCUUUUCUUUCUUACAAAUAGUGAAAUAAACAUUUAUAUCUUUUUAAUAUUAGAUUUUUUUUUCUCUUUGCAUGAAAUCAACGUUGAUAUGAUUGUGAUGUACAAUUCUGGUCGCUG